This 917-nucleotide long non-coding RNA is filed under the name Homo sapiens (human). RNAcentral's name for it is "non-protein coding lnc-PAM-1:5". Lineage: Eukaryota; Metazoa; Chordata; Mammalia; Primates; Hominidae. The record is from RNAcentral.
CAUCAUCCCCCAAUCAACUUCCCUGUCCAGUUGCUUUACCCCCCUCACAUAUUCACACAGGAGUCACAUAUGCCACUAGUCGUACAGAGUCCUCAGAAAAUCCCAAAAAUGUUUUGCCUCUCCUCAAGGUGGCAAAUGGGCAUUUGGGAACAAUUCGAGUUCAUAUCCAUUUUCCAAUGUCUGAUAUUUUGCAAAUUCAAUCCAAACUGGGUUCUUUUGGCCAGGGUCCCUCUAAGAUCAUUCAAGAAUUUUGGGCUUUAACUAUUGCCUUCUAGAUUUUAAGCUCUUCAAGGCUAAUGAGGUGAGUACAAUGCCUAGGACAUAAUAGACUUCAAAUAAGUUUUGUUUGUUUACUAACGUGAAAAGCAAAUAUUGAGGGAAAAUUUUGUUUUAAUAUCUGGAUUUUUUUUUUCAAAUCUAUUUUAAAGUGUCACAAGAGAAAGUAAUAUGGGAUAUUCAAGAAGGCUCUGUAUACUUAACCUGGCAGAGCUUUCUGGAAAAUAUUUUGUUGUUUUAUUUAUGUGUUCAUCAUGCAGUGAUAGAGGGGAGAAUGUGAGUUGGCCUGAGAAAAGAGAGAAAGAGAUUUCACAUUUGCAUUACAUCAAGGAGGUUCAACUUGGUCUAACUACCUCUCCUACUGGAACUCUCCAGCCCCGCCCCCACCACCCCACGCGCGGCUCCCUGCUUUCUCUUGCUUUGGGGUGAGGCUGGGGAUGUGGGUGGCUCCAGAGUUCCCUGCCCGCAGUUUAGGGGCGAAGUGAUCGGUGUGUGCGCGCUGGGCACUCUGCGGGUUAAAAAGGUUUAGCAGAAAGGGAUGCAGAUGGAGGCGGGAAGCCAGGCUAAGAAAGGGAUACCGACCUCCCUCCUCGGGUCGGAGGUGUGAACUGGGAAGCACUGCGCAGACCUGAGCGAGGUGG